CGGGCACGCAGCCCAGCCACGGGGAGCGAGAGGAGGAGAUCGCCACAAAGGAGUAGAAGAACAGUUGACAAAUGACUUUUCAGUCAUUCGCAAAAAAAGAAAAAAUUGCAGGAGCAUACAGCAUGUACCAUAGGCAGAGGGAAAGCCAUGUGACUGAUACAGGCCCUUGGAGAGAGGGGACCCAGCUUGACUGAUCCCAGUCCCACAGAAGCCUGGUUUACUCCAUGGACAUCCUUUCAAUAAUCUUAGUGCUAAGAACUAUCAAAUCAACAGCGAGUGGUGGACAUAGAAGCUAGUUUUGCAUUCUACAGAUAACAAGCAAAUAUGGAAAUGGGGUUCAAGUUCCAAUCUUUAGAUUUCCUUUACAUAGAACAUGAGAGCAUUCGAAAGAAAAUAUAUUCAGAUCCUUCAGUUAACUCUCAGUUUCUGCCACUUAAAAGUGUAAGCUUACUGUGCCUAACAACUGAAGAUGUCAAUGCCCUGUGGAAUACAGGAUUAGAAAGAAUGUCAGCUUGUUUAUAGACUAGAAAGAACAAAGUCAACUUAUGACUUUUACAUAGUAAGUACAAGGUUUAUACCACAGAUAUGAUCAUGAUUCAGACCUAUUUGUAUGAAGAAAAAUAUCAUCCACAGAGCGUCAACACAUGUCCAGGCUAGAAAACAGGCUAGACAUUAAAGAAAUGUAUCCAGUAUAAUGUGUUCAAUUUGGUAGAGGUGAGCUGUACUGAAUAUUUACCUUGUCUGUUUGAUAAUGUGUUCAAUGCAUUAAGAAUUGUAUUAUUCAGUACCUUCUCUGCAACACUGAAUGCCGGACAGUAGAGCAAUGGAGCCCAAAAACUUCACUGAACUGUUCAUAAUAUAAAGCUCCUGAGCCACAGAACUAAAUAUGUGACAAGGCA
This is a long non-coding RNA of Hyla sarda, 899 nucleotides long. RefSeq lists it as uncharacterized. NCBI's taxonomy places the organism in Eukaryota, Metazoa, Chordata, Amphibia, Anura, Hylidae. The record is from RefSeq and is a predicted model, not a curated record. The transcript has 5 exons.